This 460-nucleotide ribosomal RNA is filed under the name uncultured bacterium. Its description in RNAcentral is "partial 16S ribosomal RNA". It matches the Rfam family "Bacterial small subunit ribosomal RNA", at positions 338 to 795 of the family's 1533-position model. The record is from RNAcentral.
CCUACGGGAGGCUGCAGUGAGGAAUAUUGGUCAAUGGGCGCGAGCCUGAACCAGCCAAGUAGCGUGAAGGAUGACUGCCCUACGGGUUGUAAACUUCUUUUAUAAAGGAAUAAAGUGAGGCACGUGUGCCUUUUUGUAUGUACUUUAUGAAUAAGGAUCGGCUAACUCCUUGCCAGCAGCCGCGGUAAUACGGAGGAUCCGAUCGUUAUCCGGAUUGAUUGGGUUUAAAGGGAGCGUAGAUGGGUUGUUAAGUCAGUUGUGAAAGUUUGCGGCUCAACCGUAAAAUGGCAAUUGAUACUGGCAUUCUGGAGUACAGUUGAGGUAGGCGGAAUUCGUGGUGUAGCGGUGAAAUGCGUAGAUAUCACGAAGAACUCCGAUUGCGAAGGCAGCUUACUAAACUGCCACUGACAUUGAUGCUCGAAAGUGUGGGUAUCAAACAGGAUUAGAUACCCGAGUAGUC